RNAcentral lists this ribosomal RNA (252 nucleotides) under uncultured bacterium. RNAcentral describes it as "partial 16S ribosomal RNA". It matches the Rfam family "Bacterial small subunit ribosomal RNA", at positions 524 to 776 of the family's 1533-position model. The record is from RNAcentral.
UACGUAGGUGGCGAGCGUUGUCCGGAUUACUGGGCGUAAAGGGAGCGUAGGCGGACUUUUAAGUGAGAUGUGAAAUACUCGGGCUCAACUUGAGUGCUGCAUUUCAAACUGGAAGUCUAGAGUGCAGGAGAGGAGAAUGGAAUUCCUAGUGUAGCGGUGAAAUGCGUAGAGAUUAGGAAGAACACCAGUGGCGAAGGCGAUUCUCUGGACUGUAACUGACGCUGAGGCUCGAAAGCGUGGGGAGCAAACAGG